CAGACUUAAGCAGCACGAUGUGGCAGAACAAUCCCCAUUGCUGAAGGAAUGUCCAGUUCUUGCCCUUUUAAAGCUGCUGCCUCUGUGACACGUCAAAUUAGGAUCACUCCUGGGGACCUAGGGGCAGAGCCACGCCCCAUGAAAGGGCUCUCCCGGGCAACCUGCCUCUUCUGCUCUCUUCUCUGAAGCAGUGAUUUGGGGGCGGGGAGAGGGGCGUGGCCGGCAGGUGUUAGAUGGAGCCCUCCUCAGGGGGCCAGGCUGGAAGCAGGAAGAAUAGCAGCUAACAGUUGUUGUGACUUAGGACUAUCUCGUCCUCACAACAAGCCUGCGAUGAAGAGACUCUUCCUAUUAUUCCCACUUUUCAGGCACUGUCAACUUUUCCUGCACAGACGGAAUCUUUUUUUCCUAGCAACUUUACUUUCUUUUAGUGUUACAAAGUGCCAUGAAGCCUGUGAUGGGUAACCUGCCAGAUUUCACCUGGUCCUCUGAAUAAAACCUGAUACCUGAUGUCACUUUUCUUGUCAUUUCUUCUCCUAAAAAGUUUUAUGCAGCCAACUAUCAGGUGAUGAGGGAAGAGUACAGACACCUGCAGAGGCCAACAUGGGCACACAGUUCUAAGAUGUUAAAAACAAAACAUUCCAAAUACAAAAAUUAUCAGAAGAAAUAAAGCUCUCUUACAGUAUAAGUCAGAGAGACAUGACAAAUACCCUCAGAGUAACCUGAGCUCUUGCCUAGCAUUAGCACUUUUUAAAGCCCAACUGCCAUCUUGAUUUGUGGUAUUCCCACGCAAGGCCAUGCAAUCCAGUGCCCAGAAAUGUUGAGUGCUGGGUUCUUUUCUUGGCUGCCUCUGAGUGACCUUGAGCAAAUCAACUCAACAUCCCAGUUACAGGAAAUAGACAAUCCCA
This 905-nucleotide long non-coding RNA is filed under the name Equus caballus (horse). Its description in RNAcentral is "lncRNA (ENSECAG00000055425.1)". The record is from RNAcentral. Lineage: Eukaryota; Metazoa; Chordata; Mammalia; Perissodactyla; Equidae.